This 316-nucleotide ribosomal RNA is filed under the name uncultured bacterium. RNAcentral's name for it is "bacterial SSU rRNA". It matches the Rfam family "Bacterial small subunit ribosomal RNA", at positions 29 to 334 of the family's 1533-position model. The record is from RNAcentral.
AACGAACGCUGGCGGCAUGCCUAACACAUGCAAGUCGAACGAAGCACUUGAAGUUUUUCGGAAUGGAAAGUGACUGAGUGGCGGACGGGUGAGUAACGCGUGGGUAACCUGCCUCAUACAGGGGGAUAACAGUUAGAAAUGACUGCUAAUACCGCAUAAGCGCACAGUACCGCAUGGUACGGUGUGAAAAACUCCGGUGGUAUGAGAUGGACCCGCGUCUGAUUAGCUAGUUGGUGAGGUAACGGCUCACCAAGGCGACGAUCAGUAGCCGACCUGAGAGGGUGACCGGCCACAUUGGGACUGAGACACGGCCCAA